UACGGAGGGAGCUAGCGUUGUUCGGAAUUACUGGGCGUAAAGCGCACGUAGGCGGACCGACAAGUCGGGGGUGAAAUCCCGGGGCUCAACCCCGGAACUGCCUCCGAAACUGUCGGUCUGGAGGUCGAGAGAGGCGAGUGGAAUUCCGAGUGUAGAGGUGAAAUUCGUAGAUAUUCGGAGGAACACCAGUGGCGAAGGCGGCUCGCUGGCUCGAUACUGACGCUGAGGUGCGAAAGCGUGGGGAGCAAACAGG
RNAcentral lists this ribosomal RNA (253 nucleotides) under uncultured bacterium. Its description in RNAcentral is "partial 16S ribosomal RNA". It matches the Rfam family "Bacterial small subunit ribosomal RNA", at positions 524 to 776 of the family's 1533-position model. The record is from RNAcentral.